AGCGCACACGGUGGAUGCCUUGGCGGUCAGAGGCGAUGAAGGACGUGGCAGCCUGCGAAAAGUAUCGGGGAGCUGGCAACAAGCUUUGAUCCGGUAAUGUCCGAAUGGGGAAACCCACCCGCUUGCGGGUAUCCUGCAGUGAAUACAUAGCUGCUGGAAGCGAACCUGGUGAACUGAAAUAUCUAAGUAACCAGAGGAAAAGAAAUCAACCGAGAUUCCGUAAGUAGCGACGAGCGAACGCGGACUAGCCCUUAAGCUGAUUUGGUUCUAGGAAAACGCUCUGGAAAGAGCGGCCAUAGAAGGUGAUAGCCCUGUAUCUGAAAGGGCCAUUUCAGUGAAGACGAGUAGGGCGGGGCACGUGAAACCCUGUCUGAACAUGGGGGGACCAUCCUCCAAGGCUAAAUACUACUGACCGACCGAUAGUGAACCAGUACCGUGAGGGAAAGGCGAAAAGAACCCCGGAGAGGGGAGUGAAAUAGAACCUGAAACCGUGUGCGUACAAGCAGUAGGAGCUCCGCAAGGAGUGACUGCGUACCUUUUGUAUAAUGGGUCAGCGACUUACUGUUCGUGGCAAGCUUAACCGUAUAGGGGAGGCGAAGGGAAACCGAGUCUGAUAAGGGCGCAUAGUCGCGGGCAGUAGACCCGAAACCGGGUGAUCUAGUCAUGCCCAGGGUGAAGGUGCGGUAACACGCACUGGAGGCCCGAACCCACUCCCGUUGCAAAGGUAGGGGAUGAGGUGUGAUUAGGAGUGAAAAGCUAAUCGAACCCGGAGAUAGCUGGUUCUCCUCGAAAGCUAUUUAGGUAGCGCCUCAUAUGUAUCCUCUCGGGGGUAGAGCACUGUUAUGGCUAGGGGGUCAUCGCGACUUACCAAACCAUUGCAAACUCCGAAUACCGAGACGGACUGUAUGGGAGACACACGGCGGGUGCUAACGUCCGUCGUGAAAAGGGAAACAACCCAGACCCACAGCUAAGGUCCCAAAUUCACUGCUAAGUGGAAAACCAUGUGGAAAGGCACAGACAGCCAGGAGGUUGGCUUAGAAGCAGCCACCCUUUAAAGAAAGCGUAAUAGCUCACUGGUCGAGUCGGUCUGCGGGGAAGAUUUAACGGGGCUAAGCAGUGAACCGAAGCUUGGGGUGCAUACUUUGUAUGCGCGGUAGAGGAGCGUUCCGUAAGCCGUUGAAGGUGGAUUGAGAAGUCUGCUGGAGGUAUCGGAAGUGCGAAUGCUGACAUGAGUAACGAUAAUGCGGGUGAAAAACCCGCACGCCGAAAGCCCAAGGUUUCCUUGCGCAACGUUAAUCGGCGCAGGGUGAGUCGGCCCCUAAGGCGAGGACGAAAGUCGUAGUCGAUGGGAAGCAGGUUAAUAUUCCUGCACCUCGCGUAAGUGCGAUGGAGGGACGGAGAAGGUUAGGUGUACCAGGCGUUGGUUGUCCUGGGGAAAGGCGGUAGGUUUGGAUCUUUGGCAAAUCCGGGAUCCUUUAAGACCGAGCACCGAGACGAGCCUUUAUGGCGAAGUCACUGAUACCACGCUUCCAGGAAAAGCUCCUAAGCUUCAGCUUACGCAGACCGUACCGUAAACCGACACAGGUGGGUAGGAUGAGAAUUCUCAGGCGCUUGAGAGAACUCGGGUGAAGGAACUAGGCAACAUGGCACCGUAACUUCGGGAGAAGGUGCACCCUUUUUGGUGGCUCGUGCGAGCUAUAGCUGAAGAGGGUCGCAGUAACCAGGCCGCUGCGACUGUUUAUCAAAAACACAGCACUCUGCAAACACGAAAGUGGACGUAUAGGGUGUGACGCCUGCCCGGUGCUGGAAGGUUAAUUGAUGGGGUCAGCCGCAAGGCGAAGCUCUUGAUCGAAGCCCCAGUAAACGGCGGCCGUAACUAUAACGGUCCUAAGGUAGCGAAAUUCCUUGUCGGGUAAGUUCCGACCUGCACGAAUGGCGUAACGACAGCGGCGCUGUCUCCACCCGAGACUCAGUGAAAUUGAAAUCGCUGUGAAGAUGCAGCGUUCCCGUGGCAAGACGGAAAGACCCCGUGAACCUUUACUAUAGCUUUACACUGAACGUUGAGUUCGUCUGUGUAGGAUAGGUGGGAGGCUAUGAAACUGUGGCGCUAGCUGCAGUGGAGCCAUCCUUGAAAUACCACCCUGUCGUGCUUGACGUUCUAACCUGGGCCCAUUAUCUGGGUCGGGGACCGUGUAUGGUGGGUAGUUUGACUGGGGCGGUCUCCUCCUAAAGAGUAACGGAGGAGCUCGAAGGUACGCUCAGCGCGGUCGGACAUCGCGCACUGUGUGCAAAGGCAUAAGCGUGCUUGACUGCAAGAUCGACGGAUCAAGCAGGUAGGAAACUAGGACUUAGUGAUCCGGUGGUUCUGUAUGGAAGGGCCAUCGCUCAACGGAUAAAAGGUACUCCGGGGAUAACAGGCUGAUACCGCCCAAGAGUUCAUAUCGACGGCGGUGUUUGGCACCUCGAUGUCGGCUCAUCACAUCCUGGGGCUGUAGUCGGUCCCAAGGGUAUGGCUGUUCGCCAUUUAAAGUGGUACGCGAGCUGGGUUCAGAACGUCGUGAGACAGUUCGGUCCCUAUCUGCCAUGGGCGUUGGAGAUUUGAGAGGGGCUGCUCCUAGUACGAGAGGACCGGAGUGGACGAACCUCUGGUGUUCCGGUUGUCACGCCAGUGGCAUUGCCGGGUAGCUAUGUUCGGAAGCGAUAACCGCUGAAAGCAUCUAAGCGGGAAGCGCGCCUCAAGAUGAGAUCUCCCGGGGCACAAGCCCCCUGAAGGAACCAUGUAGACUACGUGGUUGA
RNAcentral lists this ribosomal RNA (2796 nucleotides) under Stenotrophomonas maltophilia. RNAcentral's name for it is "bacterial LSU rRNA". It matches the Rfam family "Bacterial large subunit ribosomal RNA". The record is from RNAcentral. Lineage: Bacteria; Pseudomonadati; Pseudomonadota; Gammaproteobacteria; Lysobacterales; Lysobacteraceae.